AUUGAACGCUGGCGGAAUGCUUUACACAUGCAAGUCGAACGGUAACAGGUCUUCGGAUGCUGACGAGUGGCGAACGGGUGAGUAAUAUAUCGGAACGUGCCCAGUCGUGGGGGAUAACGUAGCGAAAGUUACGCUAAUACCGCAUACGAUCUACGGAUGAAAGCGGGGGAUCGCAAGACCUCGCGCGAUUGGAGCGGCCGAUAUCAGAUUAGGUAGUUGGUGAGGUAAAGGCUCACCAAGCCGACGAUCUGUAGCUGGUCUGAGAGGACGACCAGCCACACUGGGACUGAGACACGGCCCAGACUCCUACGGGAGGCAGCAGUGGGGAAUUUUGGGACAAUGGGCGCAAGCCUGAUCCAGC
Molecule: ribosomal RNA, 361 nt
Filed under: uncultured bacterium
Lineage: Bacteria
Description: bacterial SSU rRNA
Rfam family: Bacterial small subunit ribosomal RNA
Source: RNAcentral